This 330-nucleotide ribosomal RNA is filed under the name uncultured Glomus. RNAcentral's name for it is "SSU rRNA". It matches the Rfam family "Eukaryotic small subunit ribosomal RNA", at positions 569 to 905 of the family's 1831-position model. The record is from RNAcentral. Lineage: Eukaryota; Fungi; Glomeromycota; Glomeromycetes; Glomerales; Glomeraceae.
AGCAGCCGCGGUAAUUCCAGCUCCAAUAGCGUAUAUUAAAGUUGCUGCAGUUAAAAAGCUCGUAGUUGAAUUUCGGGACCAAUAUGUCGGUCGUGCUUCGGUACGUACUGGCAUCGUUGGUUUCUCCCUUCUGACGAACCAUGAUGUCAUUUAUUUGGUGUCGUGGGGAAUCAGGACUGUUACUUUGAAAAAUUAGAGUGUUUAAAGCAGGCUCACGCUUGAAUACAUUAGCAUGGAAUAAUGAAAUAGGACGUUUGAUUCUAUUUUGUUGGUUUCUAGGAUCGACGUGAUGAUUAAUAGGGAUAGUUGGGGGCAUUAGUAUUCAACUGU